This 427-nucleotide ribosomal RNA is filed under the name uncultured beta proteobacterium. RNAcentral describes it as "bacterial SSU rRNA". It matches the Rfam family "Bacterial small subunit ribosomal RNA", at positions 355 to 774 of the family's 1533-position model. Lineage: Bacteria; Pseudomonadati; Pseudomonadota; Betaproteobacteria. The record is from RNAcentral.
UGGGGAAUUUUGGACAAUGGGCGAAAGCCUGAUCCAGCCAUGCCGCGUGAGUGAAGAAGGCCUUCGGGUCGUAAAGCUCUUUUAGUCGGAAAGAAAGAGUUGCAAUGAAUAAUUGUGAUUUAUGACGGUACCGACAGAAAAAGCACCGGCUAACUACGUGCCAGCAGCCGCGGUAAUACGUAGGGUGCGAGCGUUAAUCGGAAUUACUGGGCGUAAAGGGUGCGCAGGCGGUCUUGCAAGUCAGAUGUGAAAGCCCCGGGCUUAACCUGGGAAUUGCGUUUGAAACUACAAGACUAGAGUGCAGCAGAGGGGAGUGGAAUUCCAUGUGUAGCAGUGAAAUGCGUAGAGAUGUGGAAGAACACCGAUGGCGAAGGCAGCUCACUAGGCCUGGAUUGACGCUCAGGGACGAAAGCGUGGGGAUCAAACA